This 253-nucleotide ribosomal RNA is filed under the name uncultured bacterium. Its description in RNAcentral is "partial 16S ribosomal RNA". It matches the Rfam family "Bacterial small subunit ribosomal RNA", at positions 524 to 776 of the family's 1533-position model. The record is from RNAcentral.
GACAGAGGGUGCAAGCGUUGUUCGGAAUUACUGGGCGUAAAGGGCGCGUAGGCGGUCCGCUAAGUUCGGCGUGAAAUCCCCUGGCUCAACUGGGGAACGGCGCUGGAUACUGGUGGACUUGAGUACCGGAGAGGAGAGUGGAAUUCCUGGUGUAGCGGUGAAAUGCGUAGAUAUCAGGAGGAACACCGGUGGCGAAGGCGGCGAUCUGGGAAGAUACUGACGCUGAGGUGCGAAAGCGUGGGGAGCAAACAGG